Camelus dromedarius (Arabian camel) is the source of this 723-nucleotide long non-coding RNA. RefSeq lists it as uncharacterized. The transcript has 3 exons. Lineage: Eukaryota; Metazoa; Chordata; Mammalia; Artiodactyla; Camelidae. The record is from RefSeq and is a predicted model, not a curated record.
GGAGCAAAUCCCAGACAUUAUAUAAUUUCAUCUGUACAGAUUUCAGCGUGUAUUCAAUAGGUCUCUCUCUAAAAGAGCUCCCUGAAGAGGAUCUCACUUUGUCUUUGUCUAACUUAAAAGCCCUGCGGUUUUUCCCUAAACAAAAGCACCAUCUUCCCCAUGGACAAAUUUGAGCCUCCACCUCCAAAGAAGCAGAAGAAUUACUGGCGGCUUUCGAACGUCGACGUCAUGCUGCUGGCUGUCAAGGUUUCAAAACAUGUAUGCGUGCAGUUUCAGCUAGAACAUCUCAGAGCACGCGGCAUGUUAUUUUCUGUCUCCUGUGCUGCAAGGCCUGCAAGUGAUUUCACGGAGGGCUGAGAGUGCCUGAAUUUGGCUACAAGAGGAAAACAAUUGCGGUUUGUCUUGGGCCAAGUUUCAGGGUGACGAUUGCAUUAUGUUCCACGCACAGCAGCCCAGCGGGCAGGACAGAGCUGGGUGGUGGAAGGCAUUGCUUAGCAUUCAGGGCAGGACGCUUCUAAUCUCAGCAAGCUGUGUCCCUAGGGGCUUGCUGGCUUUGUGAACCACCUUGGAGCCACGUGACUGGAGGGUGAGCCUCAGGACCCGCCUUCCCCAACUCCACCAGGGACACGGCUGCAUUCUCUUCUAUGCAGUAGUUUUCAACCUAAGAUUUUGUUGUGGGGGAAAAAAAUUUACUGUAAAAUUAAAUAAAAAGUUUGGAAAUCA